CGCGGUGCAUUAGUUAGUUGGUGAGGUAAAGGCUCACCAAGACCGUGAUGCAUAGCCGACCUGAGAGGGUAAUCGGCCACACUGGGACUGAGACACGGCCCAGACUCCUACGGGAGGCAGCAGUAGGGAAUCUUCCACAAUGGACGAAAGUCUGAUGGAGCAACGCCGCGUGAGUGAAGAAGGUUUUCGGAUCGUAAAACUCUGUUGUUGGAGAAGAAUGUAUCUGAUAGUAACUGAUCAGGUAGUGACGGUAUCCAACCAGAAAGCCACGGCUAACUACGUGCCAGCAGCCGCGGUAAUACGUAGGUGGCAAGCGUUGUCCGGAUUUAUUGGGCGUAAAGCGAGCGCAGGCGGUUUCUUAAGUCUGAUGUGAAAGCCUUCGGCUCAACCGAAGAAGUGCAUCGGAAACUGGGAAACUUGAGUGCAGAAGAGGACAGUGGAACUCCAUGUGUAGCGGUGAAAUGCGUAGAUAUAUGGAAGAACACCAGUGGCGAAAGCGGCUGUCUGGUCUGUAACUGACGCUGAGGCUCGAAAGCAUGGGUAGCAAACAGGAUUAGAUACCCUGGUAGUCCAUGCCGUAAACGAUGAGUGCUAGGUGUUGGAGGGUUUCCGCCCUUCAGUGCCGCAGCUAACGCAUUAAGCACUCCGCCUGGGGAGUACGACCGCAAGGUUGAAACUCAAAGGGAUUGACGGGGCCCGCCCAAGCGGUGGAGCAUGUGGUUUAAUUCAAAUCAACUCGAAGAACCUUACCAGGUCUUG
Molecule: ribosomal RNA, 759 nt
Filed under: Latilactobacillus sakei
Lineage: Bacteria; Bacillati; Bacillota; Bacilli; Lactobacillales; Lactobacillaceae
Description: bacterial SSU rRNA
Rfam family: Bacterial small subunit ribosomal RNA
Source: RNAcentral